This 678-nucleotide ribosomal RNA is filed under the name bacterium T476. Its description in RNAcentral is "bacterial SSU rRNA". It matches the Rfam family "Bacterial small subunit ribosomal RNA", at positions 50 to 725 of the family's 1533-position model. The record is from RNAcentral.
AACACAUGCAAGUCGAACGGUAACAUUUCUAGCUUGCUAGAAGAUGACGAGUGGCGGACGGGUGAGUAAUGCUUGGGAACUUGCCUUUGCGAGGGGGAUAACAGUUGGAAACGACUGCUAAUACCGCAUAAUGUCUUCGGACCAAACGGGGCUUAGGCUCCGGCGCAAAGAGAGGCCCAAGUGAGAUUAGCUAGUUGGUAAGGUAACGGCUUACCAAGGCGACGAUCUCUAGCUGUUCUGAGAGGAAGAUCAGCCACACUGGGACUGAGACACGGCCCAGACUCCUACGGGAGGCAGCAGUGGGGAAUAUUGCACAAUGGGGGAAACCCUGAUGCAGCCAUGCCGCGUGUGUGAAGAAGGCCUUCGGGUUGUAAAGCACUUUCAGUUGUGAGGAAAAGUUAGUAGUUAAUACCUGCUAGCCGUGACGUUAACAACAGAAGAAGCACCGGCUAACUCCGUGCCAGCAGCCGCGGUAAUACGGAGGGUGCGAGCGUUAAUCGGAAUUACUGGGCGUAAAGCGCACGCAGGCGGUUUGUUAAGCUAGAUGUGAAAGCCCCGGGCUCAACCUGGGAUGGUCAUUUAGAACUGGCAGACUAGAGUCUUGGAGAGGGGAGUGGAAUUCCAGGUGUAGCGGUGAAAUGCGUAGAUAUCUGGAGGAACAUCAGUGGCGAAGGCGAC